RNAcentral lists this ribosomal RNA (485 nucleotides) under uncultured bacterium. RNAcentral describes it as "partial 16S ribosomal RNA". It matches the Rfam family "Bacterial small subunit ribosomal RNA", at positions 899 to 1397 of the family's 1533-position model. The record is from RNAcentral.
ACUCAAAUGAAUUGACGGGGACCCGCACAAGCAGAGGAUGAUGUGGUUUAAUUCGAAGAUACGCGAAGAACCUUACCAAGGUUUGACAUCCUAGGAAGGCGCUGGAAACAGUGCCGUGCCUUCGGGAACCUAGUGACAGAUGUUGCAUGGCCGUCGUCAGCUCGUGUCGUGAGAUGUUGGGUUAAGUCCCGCAACGAGCGCAACCCUUAUCGUAUGUUGUAUUUUUCAUACGAGACUGCCCGGGCCAACCGGGAGGAAGGCGAGGAUGACGUCAGGUCAGCAUGGCUCUUACACCUUGGGCUACACACGUCAUACAAUGGCCGGCACAACGCGUUGCCAAAUCGUGAGAUGGAGCUAAUCGCACCAAAACCGGUCCCAGUUCGGAUUGUAGGCUGCAACUCGCCUGCAUGAAGUUGGAUUUGCUAGUAAACGUGGGUCAGCAUACCAUGUUGAAUACGUUCCCGGGUCUUGCACACACCGCCCGU